GGGUAACGAGGUGUGGUGACGACGCUGUAGUGGUAUAAAUCGGUAGCUCGGCGGUGCUGCGGCCUUUUGUGUCGCAGUCUAAGGAAGGUCUGAAGUUUAAUGGAUUGAAGUGUGCCCAUUGUUUUCACAAGAGCAUGAUCACACUCAGUGGCCACUUUGUUAGGUACAGUGGCAUGCAAACAUUUGGGCACCCCAAGAGAUCUGAGCUCUCAGAUAACUUUUACCAAGGUUUCAGACCUUUUAGCUUGUUAGGGCUAUGGCUUCUUCACAGUCAGCGUUAGGAAAGGCCAGGUGAUGCAAAUUUCAAAGCUUUAUAAAUACCCUGACGCUUCAAGCCUUGUCCCAUCAAUCAGUGGCCAUGGGCUCCUCUGAGCAGCUGCCUUCCACUCUGAAAAUUAAAAUAAUUGAUGCCCACAAAGAAGGAGAAGGCUAUAAAAAGAUAGCAAAGCGUUUUCAUGUAGCAGUUUCCUCGGUUCGUAAUGUGAUUAAGAAAUGGCAGUUAACAGGAACGGUGGAGGUCAAGUUGAGGUCUGGGAGACCAAGAAAACUUUCCGAGAGAACUGUUCGUAUUAUUGCUAGAAAGGCAAAUGAAAACCCCCGUUUGACUGCAAAAGACCUUCAGGAAGAUUUAGCAGACUCUGGAGUGGUGGUGCACUGUUCUACUGUGCAGCGACACUUGCACAAAUAUGACUCGUGGAAGAGUCAUCAGAAGAAAACCUUUCCUGCAUCCUCGCCACAAAAUUCAGUGUCAGAAGUUUGCAAAGGAACUUCUAAACAAGCCUGAUGCAUUUUGGGGGGGAAAGUCCUGUUUUGACCAGGGGUGCCCAAACUUUUGCAUGUCGCUGUACAUCUUUUAAUGGUCAAGAGGUACAGUUCUCACCAAACAGCAGCACGGAGAAGAAAUGUGAUCUCAGUGACUUUGAAUGUGAAAUGCUUAUUGGUGCCAGGCUGAGUGGUCUGAGCAUCUCAAAAACUGCUGACUUGGGGUUUUCAUGCACAACAGUCUCUAGAGUUUAUAAAGAGUGGUGUGAAAAGCAGAAAACCUCCUUUGAGCGGCAGUUCUGUGGGUGAAAAUGCCUUGUUAAUGAGGUCUGGAGAUUGGCCAGACUAGUUCAAGCGGAUGUAAAGGCAACAGUAACUCAAAUAGCUGUUACAACAGUGAUGUGCAGAAGGGAUCUCUGAACAUGCAACACACUGAAUCUUGAAGUGGAUGGGUUACAGCAUCAGAAGACUACACUGGGUUCCACACCUGAGUGGAUAUUGAAACAGUAUAUUUACCAUUCCUGAAUUGUAUAAUGCUCUUAAAACUAAAUUAGAGACUUGUACUGAGAUUAGGUGAAAUUGUUAGCUGUUAGAAGUGAAAUAAAACAAUAGUGGACAUGUUGAA
Molecule: long non-coding RNA, 1387 nt
Organism: Mobula hypostoma (lesser devil ray)
Lineage: Eukaryota; Metazoa; Chordata; Chondrichthyes; Myliobatiformes; Myliobatidae
Exons: 2
Source: RefSeq, a predicted model, not a curated record